UAAUAAAUUUUCAUUAUGAAAUGACAAACCAAACAGAUCAACUUCGAAAAAAGUUUUGCGUCAUGGAAAACUACAAGUCUAAAAAAACACACUCAUUUUAGGGAAUAUUUUGAACCAACUAUAUAAGACGAAAUGUUUAAUAGAAAUACAGAAUAAAAUAUAAAAAAUUAAGGGUUUUAUCGAUUACUCACUGAUUCAUCGAAUUUCGAGGAAUUGCUUGUGUCAUCACACUUCCAUAGAUGAGAGUUGAGUUUGCCAUUUGUGAAAUUAAUAAUUAUUGAGUUUUAUCUACACAAGUUCUUUCGUUCCGAGAUAUGCACAUAUCUAAUGUAUAUGCCAUCUAGCGUUCCUGCCUUCUUCUGUUCGCUUGAGGUUAAUGCGCUGUGCAAAGCGAUAUUUCAAAAGGUGGGCCCAACCAAAACUAAAGCAACAAUAUACACAAAAAGAAGUAUACAAAAAGAAAAUCAUACAAUAUAUUAAGAAACAAG
Molecule: non-coding RNA, 488 nt
Organism: Bactrocera oleae (olive fruit fly)
Lineage: Eukaryota; Metazoa; Arthropoda; Insecta; Diptera; Tephritidae
Source: RefSeq, a predicted model, not a curated record